Long non-coding RNA from Aethalodelphis obliquidens (Pacific white-sided dolphin), 181 nucleotides. RefSeq lists it as uncharacterized. NCBI's taxonomy places the organism in Eukaryota, Metazoa, Chordata, Mammalia, Artiodactyla, Delphinidae. The record is from RefSeq and is a predicted model, not a curated record. The transcript is spliced from 2 exons.
CGGUGAGCAGUAAGUAAGAGCAGAGAUAACAUGAAGGUGGUCCCGUAGGCUAAGGGUGAGCAGGGAAAUGCUGAAGGCCAGGAAGGAGAGGCCACAGAGCUGCAAGAGGUGGAGGGCACAAAAGGGUGCCAACCGCAAAACUGCGCUGUGCUCGAUGGUGGUGAUAUCAACCAAAACAAAA